This 430-nucleotide ribosomal RNA is filed under the name bacterium. Its description in RNAcentral is "partial 16S ribosomal RNA". It matches the Rfam family "Bacterial small subunit ribosomal RNA", at positions 355 to 776 of the family's 1533-position model. The record is from RNAcentral.
UGGGGAAUAUUGGACAAUGGGCGCAAGCCUGAUCCAGCCAUGCCGCGUGUGUGAAGAAGGCCUUUUGGUUGUAAAGCACUUUAAGCGAGGAGGAGGCUACUUGGAUUAAUACUCUAGGAUAGUGGACGUUACUCGCAGAAUAAGCACCGGCUAACUCUGUGCCAGCAGCCGCGGUAAUACAGAGGGUGCGAGCGUUAAUCGGAUUUACUGGGCGUAAAGCGUGCGUAGGCGGCUUUUUAAGUCGGAUGUGAAAUCCCUGAGCUUAACUUAGGAAUUGCAUUCGAUACUGGGAAGCUAGAGUAUGGGAGAGGAUGGUAGAAUUCCAGGUGUAGCGGUGAAAUGCGUAGAGAUCUGGAGGAAUACCGAUGGCGAAGGCAGCCAUCCGGCCUAAUACUGACGCUGAGGUACGAAAGCAUGGGGAGCAAACAGG